Molecule: long non-coding RNA, 1630 nt
Filed under: Olea europaea (common olive)
Lineage: Eukaryota; Viridiplantae; Streptophyta; Magnoliopsida; Lamiales; Oleaceae
Description: long non-coding RNA (OEUR_LNC009002)
Source: RNAcentral
UUAGAUUUUUUUGAGAGGAAUACUACUUGGAGUUCAAGUUAUUGAUUCUUGAAUUUCUAUCUACAUUGAGGUAAGGAGAUGUCAAUUUUUUUUUUUGGGAAACCCUAGAAUUCGAUUUUGGGAUUUUGAUUAAUUAUUUGUGGGAAUGAUUAUAUAAAUGGAAUAUUUCACUUGGGAAUUGAUUUUAUGGAACAAAUGUAUAUUAAAUGGGUGAAAUUGUGGUUACUAGUUUCAUUAGAUUGGAGACUAAAAUUAGUUUUAAACUUGGGAAGAAUGUUUUGUUGAUGAAUUAAUUAUUAGAAAAGAGAUUAGAAAGUGGGAUUAGCUCCAAUUGAUCAAAAGAAUAUUUGGGAAAUUCAUUUGAGCAUCGACCAAUUUUAGUUAAGUAUUAUAGAAGUAGAUCUUAAAAUUUCUUAAUUUAAUAGUGGUUGAUUAGUCAUCUUGUUAUAUAUUCCAGGUGGUGGCGAGGAGAUUGGAAGAGCCUAUCGACCAUCUUAGGUUCAACUUGUAUUAUGUGAGUGGAUAAGCUUAUUUUUUUAGAAAUGAGUAUUUAUUUAAUUUUGAAGUUACGUAUUUUAUAAGUUGAGUUGAUAGCAUGAUUUUUCAGAAUAAAACGAGUUUUAUUAUCAAAUGUUUUUAAAAUUUAAAUUCAGUUCAGUUAAAUUCUUUCAUUGACAUAUUAUUUCGGUAUUAAAUAUUUUAGUAUAUUCGAAGUUAUUUUAAAACCACCAGAAAGUACUCAAGUGAUUUUACCCUCGUCUGCACUGGUGUGAAUGUGUUUUCACAGUGUAUGAUUUCAUAUGGUUAUUUUACCUACUCUGCACUAGUGUGAAUGUGUUUCCACGGUGUAUGAUCAGUAUAGUGAUUUUACCCGCUCUGCACUAUUGUGAAUGUGUUUCCAUAAUGUAUGACCAUUUUAUAGCUCUGCGCGCGUACGACCAGAAUUUCAGAAUUGAAUAACCUUGCUAUGUAGAUCGAGAUUAAUCGAUUCACGAGUAUGGUUAUUCCGGGUACAUUUUUGGUGUGAUGUUUCAGUAUCACAUAGCUUAUCAAAUUUUAGAAAUGCAGUAUACAGAAUAAAGAUGUUUAUGAUUACAGUAUAUUUUAAUUUUGAUUGUAUCAUCAGAUUUUAAGCUACAAAACUCAACCUAUUCAGUUUAAAGAAUAAAUAUUUAGUUUAUAUGUCUGUGAAAAGAAAUUUUAUACUAUAUGUCGAUUUUAAGAAAUAUUUUAUGAAUAGAAAAUUAUAUUUUUGCAAAUAUCCACUCACUGAGUUAUAUGCUCACAUUUUUAUCACUAUUUCUCUAAUCAGAUAGUAGCUGAGUUGAACACUACUGGGCCAGUUGAUCUAUCAAGUUGAGCCAUAGAUUGUCAAGCAUUGUAUGAACUAUCUUUUCAGUUUAAGAGUUCAUAUUUUGGGAUAGACACCUCUUUUGGUCAUAAAUUAGUUCCAUGUGUUGGGCUUGCUAUGUUUUGUAUAUAUAUUAUGCAUUUUGGGUACUGUGGUUUAGAAAUUGUUGCAAAAGUCGAAUUGCCAGUGUUUUAUUUGAAUAGUUGAUAUUUUGAGGGGCCGGUGUACCCUAUUUCAAAUGAUAUGUACAUGUUUGAGAUAUUUGAUUUUAUUUUCAGG